GGCAGUAUAGUGUAGUGGUUUUAUUGUUGGACUGCAACUCUGGAGACCAGGGUUCAAAACUUGGUUCAGCCA
Non-coding RNA from Phrynosoma platyrhinos (Desert horned lizard), 72 nucleotides. The record is from the annotation of a GenBank genome assembly. NCBI's taxonomy places the organism in Eukaryota, Metazoa, Chordata, Lepidosauria, Squamata, Phrynosomatidae.